RNAcentral lists this ribosomal RNA (624 nucleotides) under uncultured bacterium. RNAcentral's name for it is "bacterial SSU rRNA". It matches the Rfam family "Bacterial small subunit ribosomal RNA", at positions 202 to 842 of the family's 1533-position model. The record is from RNAcentral.
AAAAACUCCGGUGGUGUAAGAUGGACCCGCGUCUGAUUAGCUUGUUGGCGGGGUAGAGGCCCACCAAGGCGACGAUCAGUAGCCGGCCUGAGAGGGUGGACGGCCACAUUGGGACUGAGACACGGCCCAAACUCCUACGGGAGGCAGCAGUGGGGGAUAUUGGACAAUGGGGGAAACCCUGAUCCAGCGACGCCGCGUGAGUGAAGAAGUAUUUCGGUAUGUAAAGCUCUGUCAGCAGGGAAGAAAGAAAUGACGGUACCUGACCAAGAAGCCCCGGCUAACUACGUGCCAGCAGCCGCGGUAAUACGUAGGGGGCAAGCGUUAUCCGGAAUUACUGGGUGUAAAGGGAGCGUAGACGGUGAUGCAAGUCUGGAGUGAAAGGCGGGGGCCCAACCCCCGGACUGCUCUGGAAACUGUGUAACUUGAGUGCAGGAGAGGUAAGCGGAGUUCCUAGUGUAGCGGUGAAAUGCGUAGAUAUUAGGAGGAACACCAGUGGCGAAGGCGGCUUACUGGACUGUAACUGACGUUGAGGCUCGAAAGCGUGGGGAGCAAACAGGAUUAGAUACCCUGGUAGUCCACGCCGUAAACGAUGAAAUCUAGGUGUCGGUGGGUAUGGACCCACCG